AGUCUGNAACCCGACUACAUGAAGCUGGAAUCGCUAGUAAUCGCAGAUCAGAAUGCUGCGGUGAAUACGUUCCCGGGUCUUGUACACACCGCCCGUCACACCAUGGGAGUCGGGAAUGCCCGAAGUCAGUGACCCAACCGCAAGGAGGGAGCUGCCGAAGGCAGGCUCGAUAACUGGGGUGAAGUCGUAACAAGGUAGC
Molecule: ribosomal RNA, 199 nt
Filed under: uncultured bacterium
Lineage: Bacteria
Description: partial 16S ribosomal RNA
Rfam family: Bacterial small subunit ribosomal RNA
Source: RNAcentral